AUGGCCUUUGGAGGAAGGAACCUGGCUGUCUCACGCUGGAGUUCAUCAUUUUGCCAACACCAGAGGGGCCCAGGGCACAAAGUUGAACCUCCUCAGCUCCACACACAGCCUGCCUUUCCUGGUCUGACCUCUGCCUGCCUCUCUAGACUCAUCUCCUGCAGCUCCUCACUAAACACGAAGCCUUCCUCAUCACCGUGUCUACCUCCCCCUGGAUCCUUGAGUGCCUCACGUCCUCACACACCUGUGAGACUCUGCAAAGACUGUCAUUAGUAUAUGCCUUCUACCUGGCCAGGUCCUGCUCAUCUCUGAAGCGCCAGCUUCAGUCAUCUCUUCUGGGAUCUCUUCACCCGUCCACCCCCAUCCUAAUCGGAAUGAGCAGUCUAUCUUCAGUAUUGCCACAGAGCUUGCAGCUUUCCAUGUCACCAAGUUUCUACAUUGUAUUGUCACUGUCUGCAUCCUAGAUGACCUGUGAGCCUCUCAGGGGCAGACAUCUUGUUUUAUUUGCUUUUGCAUCCCUUUCACAAGCAGCCUGGCAAAUAUUUGAUACGUAUUUGGUGGCUGGCUGGCUGGGUGGCUUGAUGAAUGAAUGGAUGUAUGAAUGAAUGAUGGCUGAAACCAGGUCCUCUGCAGAUUUCUGUGGUCACUGAGAAUGUCUUUUGACUGUGGCAGCCCAAUGCAUUGCACAACUGCUUCUGGAAUCACUCCACCUUGCUUUGGGCACACCUAGAGCAUUUUUCUCAGUGACCCCAGGCUUGUUCAUUAAAGCUGGAUGGCAUAGGAGAGAAGUAAGUAAGUAUGGUUUGCCUGCAUCAUCCAUCAUAGAAGUUUAGAGCAGAAAGAAGCCUCAGGGGUCACUGUGACAACAGGGUGGCUAGAAAUUCUACUGUGAGCAGUUCCAAGCAUUAUCACACAUCUCCUUGAGUUCACCACAUCAUAUAUCUAGUCUUUGGAGAUACAUCUGGCUUGUAGGAAGGGGACCCAGCCCGGUGUCUAGAUCUGCCUGAUGGAGAGGCACUGCUCUUGGGUAGUGAUGAGCAUCUGGAGCUGAUGGAAAAGCUUAGCUCAGAUGGGCAGCAGAUCCCUUGUUAUCUGGCCCCAGUUCAGACAGUCGGUCUGUGAUGUUGGCGGUGUCCAAGACAGACUUUGGCUGUGUUGUCCUGUGUGGGUGAAGCACCCUCUCAAGGAAGCAGUAUGCUGAAAUGUGAAAGUUCUUGUGAGCGGCUGGAUCUGGGUGGUUCUCAGGCUGGACUAAGCGGGGCUUCCCUGGUAGCUCAGUCGGUAAAGAAUCUGCCUGCACUGCAGGAGACCCGCGUUCUCUCCUUAGAUUGGGAAGAUCUCCUGGAGAAGGAAAUGGCAAUCCACUUAAGUACUCUUGCCUGGAAAGUCCUAUGGAUAGAGGAACCUGGUGGGCUAUGGUCCAUGGCAUCUCAAGAGUUGGACAUGACUUAACAACUAAACUACCACCACCUCCAGAGGCCUAGGUCAGGGUUCAGGGAAAGGAUGCAGGUCCUAAGAGGACUAGGUAGGGUGGCAAAAUGGAAAUACGGUGAAAUGUUGAAAUGAGGUGAGGAAACUCACACUCAGAAACAAACAAACUUGCACAGUGGGAGACCCCUGUGCCAGACUUAAGUCAGAACUGGAUGAAUUACAAAAAAAUAUUUGUAAUCCCUCAUUAGAUAGAUACCUUACACCGGACGUGACACUACACCUUUCUUUAGUAUAGAUAAAGACCAUCACUGUUCAUUCUCACAACAACCUUAUUCUCCUUUUAUGAAUGAAAAAAAUUGAGCCUGAAGAUGUUGGGAAACUUGCUCAAGGUCACAGGCAAUGUGGGGAUUUGAACGGAGGUCUGCCUGACACUUAACCAUGCCAAUUUAUUGCCUGACGAUUCACCCUCCAAAACUAGCUACUCUGCCUUCUCAAUUAAAGGCUCUGGGGGUCCAGUUACAGACUUUUUUUUUUUUUUUGCUGCUUAUUUCAUUGUCACAGUAGAAAAGACAACUAGCUCUUAACAAGGCCAGAAAACCCACAGUGCUGUUGCAAUGUGUGGGUUACCAUCCAAGAGCCACCAAUGGGCACCUCAGCUAAUGCAUUGCCAAGGCCUUGAUCCACCUGCUUCAGACCAUCUUCCCUCCACCUCUUACCCCACGUCCCCCCUCUCCCAACACUGGCUGGUCCCAGCUGCUCCAUCUCGGAGGCUCACUGUGGGCUAAUGGGGUUUACAUUUCUAGCGAGCUACCAGGAAAGUCCUGAAAGUGCGCAAGCCUUGAGAUCUUAUUCUUG
Molecule: long non-coding RNA, 2283 nt
Organism: Bos grunniens (domestic yak)
Lineage: Eukaryota; Metazoa; Chordata; Mammalia; Artiodactyla; Bovidae
Source: Ensembl